UGUAGUAAUGAUGUCAGUAUUCAACAAAGUUUUUGGAAUGGUCCAUGACACCGCUGAAACCCACACGGUUCACUUGAGCCUCACCACGGAAUCUCAAAACACUUCAACACUGGAUGGGAAAGUAUCAGUCACAGUGGCUGCUUCUAUUACUUUCAUUAUCAUAAUUUCGGCAGGUGUAAUUUUCCGCUGCUGGAAACAAAAAAAACAGCAGAAGUCUGAUGAAGAAAAUGUCUUAACUGAUGAAGAGAGGUUUGACCCUGCACAGCCAGAAAUGACCACGGAGGAAGAUUCUACAGAAGAGAUACCUGAAACAAAUGUGGAUUAUGAGGAUGGAGAAGUUAUGGGAGCAUUACUUUCAAUGAUGACCUGCUUGUGAGCUUUAAUUCAGGCCAGAGAAAGGCUUCUGUUAGUUUAAGUGUAAGUUUGGUUUCAUCACAAAGGAAUACUGAGAAAAUGGAUGGAAGUUUUUUACAGGGCCACUUGGGGCCAUCACUCAUUUGAAAAUGAUUGUAAUAUUAAUAUUAAUUUAAUGUUACAUUAUAUACUGACAUAGUGUAUUGUAGCUAGAACUUGUUUUUUAUUGCAUGGUCACAUGGAAAUGUUGAUCUUCAACAGCUAUCAUACAAAGAUAGUGGAAAAUUUUGAUUUGUUGGGUGUUUUUCCAUGGAUAUACUUAGGUAGUGGACCAAAGCCUGUGUAUACUGAGAUAAUGGAUGCUAAUACGUCAUAAAUAUGGACACAGAGAUGUUGGAUCACACAAAGUGGUAUGUAUAGAGAUGCUGGGUGUUUUUCCAUAGGUAUACUGAGAUGGUGGAUGCUAAUACUUCAUUAACAAAGAUAUGGAGAUUGUGUUGUAUAUGCAGUGUUAUGCCAUGGUUAUACUGACAAGCUGGAUGUUGACCCUUUAUUAUAUGCAUCCAGAGAUGUGGUUAUCAGUGGUAAACUGGUAAUAGCUUUCCUGGUUAGUUCUGAAGUUCUUUUAGAUUUUGAGAAGGUUUUUGUCUAAAUGGUUUUGUCAGGAGAAAUAUUACAGUGGUAAACUGAAAGGGGGAUGAGAUAUUUGAUCUGGCUGCCAUUGCUAAUCAAAAUGUCAUAAAAUGUUUGCAUUGCAAUAAAGCAUAUUUGGUUGGUUAUUUUCAAACUGCAAAUCAUGGUUUUGGAUGUCAGAGUUAUGAGUAGUUGCAUGCCCUUACAGUGGAUACCAGGAUCCAGUAUAAUUUUCCAUAAUGGUAGUGGAUUCCAGAGUACUGUGUUGAUGUUUGACACAAGG
Scatophagus argus is the source of this 1270-nucleotide long non-coding RNA. RefSeq lists it as uncharacterized. NCBI's taxonomy places the organism in Eukaryota, Metazoa, Chordata, Actinopteri, Scatophagidae. The transcript is spliced from 3 exons. The record is from RefSeq and is a predicted model, not a curated record.